UGGGGAAUCUUGCGCAAUGGCCGAAAGGCUGACGCAGCGACGCCGCGUGUGGGAUGACGCCUUUCGGGGUGUAAACCACUGUUGCCCGGGACGAAACCUGGUUUUCGAGCCAGUUGACGGUACCGGGUGAGGAAGCACCGGCUAACUCCGUGCCAGCAGCCGCGGUAAUACGGAGGGUGCGAGCGUUGUCCGGAAUCACUGGGCGUAAAGGGCGCGUAGGCGGCUGGGGUAGUCGGUGGUGAAAGCUCGUGGCUCAACUGCGAGUCGGCCAUCGAUACUCCUCGGCUCGAGCACUGUAGAGGCAGGUGGAAUUCCGGGUGUAGCGGUGGAAUGCGUAGAGAUCCGGAAGAACACCGGUGGCGAAGGCGGCCUGCUGGGCAGUAGCUGACGCUGAGGCGCGACAGCGUGGGGAGCAAACA
This 419-nucleotide ribosomal RNA is filed under the name uncultured Gemmatimonadota bacterium. RNAcentral describes it as "partial 16S ribosomal RNA". It matches the Rfam family "Bacterial small subunit ribosomal RNA", at positions 355 to 774 of the family's 1533-position model. Lineage: Bacteria; Pseudomonadati; Gemmatimonadota. RNAcentral also lists the same sequence under 1 other name. The record is from RNAcentral.